Molecule: ribosomal RNA, 463 nt
Filed under: uncultured bacterium
Lineage: Bacteria
Description: partial 16S ribosomal RNA
Rfam family: Bacterial small subunit ribosomal RNA
Source: RNAcentral
GGGGGGGGGGGGCGGCGGGGGUGGCGCGGGCAGGGCGAGCGGUGGGGCGCUGCGGGGGGGGUCAGGGGGGGGCGGGUGAGUAGCGCGUGGGCAACCUGCCCCCGGCGCUGGGAUAACUCCAAGAAAGUGGGGCUAAUACCGGGUGUUCACCGCUUCCCGCAUGGGGGGUGGUGAAAAGGGUUGCCGGCUGGGGAUGGGCCCGCGGCCUAUCAGCUUGUUGGUGGGGUAGUGGCCUACCAAGGCGACGACGGGUAGCCGGCCUGAGAGGGUGACCGGCCACACGGGGACUGAGACACGGCCCAGACUCCUAAGGGAGGCAGCAGUGGGGAAUAUUGCGCAAUGGGCGGAAGCCUGACGCAGCGACGCCGCGUGGGGGAUGACGGCCUUCGGGUUGUAAACCUCUUUCAGCAGGGACGAAGCGCAAGUGACGGUACCUGCAGAAGAAGCACCGGCCAACUACGUG